AAUUGCGAUACCCGUUGAUCCUGCGGGAGAUUACUGCUAUUAGGGUUCCACUUAACCAUGCAAGUCAAGGGGACUCUUCGGAGUCACCGGCGGAAUGCUCAGUAACACGUCGAUAAUCUACCCUAAGGUCUAGAAUAACCAUGGGAAACUGUGGCUAAUACUGGAUAGAAAAUUGAUACUGGAAUGUACUUUUUUUGAAAGUUACGACGCCUUAGGAUGGGUCGGCGGCUGAUUAGCUAGUUGGUGAG
Molecule: ribosomal RNA, 248 nt
Filed under: Nanobdellota archaeon
Lineage: Archaea; Nanobdellati; Nanobdellota
Description: partial 16S ribosomal RNA
Rfam family: Archaeal small subunit ribosomal RNA
Source: RNAcentral